GUUUUUUCUUAAAGUAUCUUAGUGCUUGUCAAGUCUCCAGAAGAUCAUUAAGAAUAAUAUCUUGUUCAUUAAAAAUUAUUUACAGACCAUCCCAAGGGAAACACUUGGAACUAACACUUCCACAGGGAAUGUACUCCAAAAAUCCUAGCAGUACAUUGCUGGCCUCCUAAUUAGCAGGUUAGGACAGCUCUGUGCGUCUCUUGGGGGACUCAUAAAAGAUUACAAUUAAUUGGGAAAGUCAGUCCAUAAAGUACAUUCUAUAAGGAGAGUUCAAACAGAAUAGCUGUCUUUUUUAUGCUUCUUUAGUUAAUGCUAACUAAGUGCCAUCAAAGUUGGAAAACUUUUUUAUUGAACUUUAAUUCCUUAUACAAAUUCUUGUUCAGUGUUCUCAUUUUCAGGAGAGUGGAAGGGAACCCAAAGUUUCAGUGAAUUGACAGAUCCUGGAUGACGUAUGUCAAAAGAUUUGGUGAAUCCCCCCUUUUCCCUCAGAAUCCCCAGUUUCACUUACUGUAAGUGGCAAAACCACAGGUAAAAGAAAGAGUCGUGAUUUUUUCAUGUGUCUGUUGGCUGUAUGAAUGUCUUCUUUGGAGAAAUGCCUGUUCAUAUCCUUUGCCCACUUUUUGAUGGGGUUGUUUGUUUUUUUCUUUUGCCCACUUUUUGAUGGGGUUGUUUGUUUUUUUCUUGUAAAUUUGUUUGAGUUCUUUGUAGGUUCUGGAUAUUAGCCCUUUGUCAGAUGAGUAGAUUGCAAAAAUUUUCUCCCAUUCUUAGGUUGCCUGUUCACUCUGAUGGUAGUUUCUUUGCUGUGCAGAGGCUCUUUAGUUUAAUUAGAUCCCAUUUGUCAAUUUUGGCUUUUGCUGCCAUUGUUUUUGGUGUUUUAGACAUGAAGUCUUUGCUCAUGCCUAUGUCCUGAAUGGUACUACCUAGGUUUUCCUCUAGGGUUUUUAUGGUAUUAGGACUAACAUUUAAGUCUCGAAUCCAUCUUGAAUUAAUUUUCAUAUAAGGAGUAAGGAAAGGAUCCAGUUUCAGCUUUCUACUUAUGGCUAGCCAAUUUUCCCAGCACCAUUUAUUAAAUAGGGAAUCCUUUCCCCAUGUCUUGUUUCUCUCAGGUUUGUCAAAGAUCAGAUGGCUGUAGAUGUGUGGUAUUAUUUCUGAGGACUCUGUUCUGUUCCAUUGGUCUAUAUCUCUGUUUUGGUACCAGUACCAUGCUGUUUUGGUUACUGUAGCCUUGUAGUAUAGUUUGAAGUCAGGUAGUGUGAUGCCUCCAGUUUUGUUCUUUUGACUUAGGAUUGUCUUGGAGAUGCAGGCUCAAACCAUCAAAGAUCAAAAGAGACAAAGAAGGCCAUUACAUAAUAGUAAAAGGAUCAAUUCAACAGGAAGAGCUAACUAUCCUAAAUAUAUAUGCACCCAAUACAGGAGCACCCAGAUUCAUAAAGCAAGUACUUAGAGACUUACAAAGAGACU
This 1461-nucleotide long non-coding RNA is filed under the name Papio anubis (olive baboon). RNAcentral describes it as "lncRNA (ENSPANG00000050282.1)". Lineage: Eukaryota; Metazoa; Chordata; Mammalia; Primates; Cercopithecidae. The record is from RNAcentral.